RNAcentral lists this ribosomal RNA (1167 nucleotides) under Triticum aestivum (bread wheat). RNAcentral describes it as "partial small subunit ribosomal RNA". Lineage: Eukaryota; Viridiplantae; Streptophyta; Magnoliopsida; Poales; Poaceae. The record is from RNAcentral.
AUGGCCCCCGAGCGGCCGCGGCAAAAGCUAUGCAUCUUCCUCCUCGCCGCCUUGGCGUGCUCGCUGCGCGCAGGCGCCGCCGCGGCGAACACGUCCACGUCCACCCUGGCCAUCCGGCUCAAGCCGCCAUCGAAGCCGAGGCACGGCAGCACGAGGCAGCACCGACCGGGUCCGCGAGGGAGCCACGCCGGCAGCGGGAUGGCGUCAUGCAACAUGUUCCAGGGCAGCUGGGUGUACGACGAUGCGCUGCCGAUGUACGACGCGGCGGGCUGCCCCUUCGUGGAGCCGGAGUUCGACUGCCAGAAGUACGGCCGCCCCGACAAGCUCUACCUCAAGUACCGGUGGCGCCCCGCCUCCUGCGAGCUCCCGAGGUUCGACGGGCGGGACUUGCUGAGCAGAUGGAAGGGAAAGAAGGUACUGUUCGUGGGGGACUCCAUCAGCCUGAACCAAUGGGAGUCGCUGGUGUGCAUGCUGCACGCGGCCGCCCCGUCCUCCAGGACCAGCUACAGCAGGGGCAACCCCGUCUCCACCGUCACGUUCCAGGACUACGGGCUGUCGGUGGCGUACUACCGGAGCACCUACCUGGUGGACAUCGUCGAGGAGUCCAUCGGCCGGGUGCUGAAGCUCGACUCCAUCUCCGGCGACGCGUGGCUCGGCACCGACAUGCUCGUCUUCAACACUUGGCACUGGUGGACCCACACCGGCAAGGACCAACCAUGGGACUAUGUGCAAGAUGGGGCUCAGGUCAUGAAGGACAUGGACCGGCUCACGGCCUUCUCCAAGGGGAUGUCCACGUGGGCCAGAUGGGUGGACUCAAACGUGGACACCUCCAAGACCAAGGUCUAUUUCCAGGGCAUCUCUCCGACACACUUCAAUGGAGCGCAGUGGGGGGAGAGCUCGAGCAGCUGCGCACACCAGACGCAGCCGAUCGCGGGGCCGACGUACCCGGGCGGGCCGCUUCCGGCGCAGGGCGCGGUGCGGAACGCGCUCGGCGGCAUGUCGAAGCCGGUGUUCCUGUUGGACAUCACGCUGCUGUCGCAGCUGAGGAGGGACGCGCACCCGUCGGCGUACAGCGGCGGCCACCCGAGCAACGACUGCAGCCACUGGUGCCUUGCCGGCCUGCCCGACACCUGGAACCAGAUCCUCUAUGCCUCGCUCCUUGCAUAG